UCGGGUGUAGGGUAGGCUGAACAAAGAAAAAUUUGGUUUAAAGUGUGGCGUUGGGAGGGGUAAAUAAUGGUAGGAAGGGAAACUUGAUGAUUGGAGUAGAAAUAAAUGAAAACAGUAACAAACUUUUAACUCUUUUUUUUUUCCUCGAUUUUUUUUGCUCACUUUUUUUUUUCGAAUUUCUUUUUUUUAAUAUUUUCAAAAUUUUUUUAUAUACCACAAUACACUAAUAUGCUGAAU
This 237-nucleotide long non-coding RNA is filed under the name Gossypium raimondii (Peruvian cotton). RNAcentral's name for it is "long non-coding RNA (GRAI_LNC006393)". The record is from RNAcentral. Lineage: Eukaryota; Viridiplantae; Streptophyta; Magnoliopsida; Malvales; Malvaceae.